This 2902-nucleotide ribosomal RNA is filed under the name Escherichia coli. RNAcentral's name for it is "bacterial LSU rRNA". It matches the Rfam family "Bacterial large subunit ribosomal RNA". Lineage: Bacteria; Pseudomonadati; Pseudomonadota; Gammaproteobacteria; Enterobacterales; Enterobacteriaceae. The record is from RNAcentral. RNAcentral also lists the same sequence under 1 other name.
UUAAGCGACUAAGCGUACACGGUGGAUGCCCUGGCAGUCAGAGGCGAUGAAGGACGUGCUAAUCUGCGAUAAGCGUCGGUAAGGUGAUAUGAACCGUUAUAACCGGCGAUUUCCGAAUGGGGAAACCCAGUGUGAUUCGUCACACUAUCAUUAACUGAAUCCAUAGGUUAAUGAGGCGAACCGGGGGAACUGAAACAUCUAAGUACCCCGAGGAAAAGAAAUCAACCGAGAUUCCCCCAGUAGCGGCGAGCGAACGGGGAGCAGCCCAGAGCCUGAAUCAGUGUGUGUGUUAGUGGAAGCGUCUGGAAAGGCGCGCGAUACAGGGUGACAGCCCCGUACACAAAAAUGCACAUACUGUGAGCUCGAUGAGUAGGGCGGGACACGUGGUAUCCUGUCUGAAUAUGGGGGGACCAUCCUCCAAGGCUAAAUACUCCUGACUGACCGAUAGUGAACCAGUACCGUGAGGGAAAGGCGAAAAGAACCCCGGCGAGGGGAGUGAAAAAGAACCUGAAACCGUGUACGUACAAGCAGUGGGAGCACGCUUAGGCGUGUGACUGCGUACCUUUUGUAUAAUGGGUCAGCGACUUAUAUUCUGUAGCAAGGUUAACCGAAUAGGGGAGCCGAAGGGAAACCGAGUCUUAACUGGGCGUUAAGUUGCAGGGUAUAGACCCGAAACCCGGUGAUCUAGCCAUGGGCAGGUUGAAGGUUGGGUAACACUAACUGGAGGACCGAACCGACUAAUGUUGAAAAAUUAGCGGAUGACUUGUGGCUGGGGGUGAAAGGCCAAUCAAACCGGGAGAUAGCUGGUUCUCCCCGAAAGCUAUUUAGGUAGCGCCUCGUGAAUUCAUCUCCGGGGGUAGAGCACUGUUUCGGCAAGGGGGUCAUCCCGACUUACCAACCCGAUGCAAACUGCGAAUACCGGAGAAUGUUAUCACGGGAGACACACGGCGGGUGCUAACGUCCGUCGUGAAGAGGGAAACAACCCAGACCGCCAGCUAAGGUCCCAAAGUCAUGGUUAAGUGGGAAACGAUGUGGGAAGGCCCAGACAGCCAGGAUGUUGGCUUAGAAGCAGCCAUCAUUUAAAGAAAGCGUAAUAGCUCACUGGUCGAGUCGGCCUGCGCGGAAGAUGUAACGGGGCUAAACCAUGCACCGAAGCUGCGGCAGCGACGCUGAUGCGUUGUUGGGUAGGGGAGCGUUCUGUAAGCCUGUGAAGGUGUGCUGUGAGGCAUGCUGGAGGUAUCAGAAGUGCGAAUGCUGACAUAAGUAACGAUAAAGCGGGUGAAAAGCCCGCUCGCCGGAAGACCAAGGGUUCCUGUCCAACGUUAAUCGGGGCAGGGUGAGUCGACCCCUAAGGCGAGGCCGAAAGGCGUAGUCGAUGGGAAACAGGUUAAUAUUCCUGUACUUGGUGUUACUGCGAAGGGGGGACGGAGAAGGCUAUGUUGGCCGGGCGACGGUUGUCCCGGUUUAAGCGUGUAGGCUGGUUUUCCAGGCAAAUCCGGAAAAUCAAGGCUGAGGCGUGAUGACGAGGCACUACGGUGCUGAAGCAACAAAUGCCCUGCUUCCAGGAAAAGCCUCUAAGCAUCAGGUAACAUCAAAUCGUACCCCAAACCGACACAGGUGGUCAGGUAGAGAAUACCAAGGCGCUUGAGAGAACUCGGGUGAAGGAACUAGGCAAAAUGGUGCCGUAACUUCGGGAGAAGGCACGCUGAUAUGUAGGUGAAGUCCCUCGCGGAUGGAGCUGAAAUCAGUCGAAGAUACCAGCUGGCUGCAACUGUUUAUUAAAAACACAGCACUGUGCAAACACGAAAGUGGACGUAUACGGUGUGACGCCUGCCCGGUGCCGGAAGGUUAAUUGAUGGGGUCAGCGCAAGCGAAGCUCUUGAUCGAAGCCCCGGUAAACGGCGGCCGUAACUAUAACGGUCCUAAGGUAGCGAAAUUCCUUGUCGGGUAAGUUCCGACCUGCACGAAUGGCGUAAUGAUGGCCAGGCUGUCUCCACCCGAGACUCAGUGAAAUUGAACUCGCUGUGAAGAUGCAGUGUACCCGCGGCAAGACGGAAAGACCCCGUGAACCUUUACUAUAGCUUGACACUGAACAUUGAGCCUUGAUGUGUAGGAUAGGUGGGAGGCUUUGAAGUGUGGACGCCAGUCUGCAUGGAGCCGGCCUUGAAAUACCACCCUUUAAUGUUUGAUGUUCUAACGUUGACCCGUGAUCCGGGUUGCGGACAGUGUCUGGUGGGUAGUUUGACUGGGGCGGUCUCCUCCUAAAGAGUAACGGAGGAGCACGAAGGUUGGCUAAUCCUGGUCGGACAUCAGGAGGUUAGUGCAAUGGCAUAAGCCAGCUUGACUGCGAGCGUGACGGCGCGAGCAGGUGCGAAAGCAGGUCAUAGUGAUCCGGUGGUUCUGAAUGGAAGGGCCAUCGCUCAACGGAUAAAAGGUACUCCGGGGAUAACAGGCUGAUACCGCCCAAGAGUUCAUAUCGACGGCGGUGUUUGGCACCUCGAUGUCGGCUCAUCACAUCCUGGGGCUGAAGUAGGUCCCAAGGGUAUGGCUGUUCGCCAUUUAAAGUGGUACGCGAGCUGGGUUUAGAACGUCGUGAGACAGUUCGGUCCCUAUCUGCCGUGGGCGCUGGAGAACUGAGGGGGGCUGCUCCUAGUACGAGAGGACCGGAGUGGACGCAUCACUGGUGUUCGGGUUGUCAUGCCAAUGGCACUGCCCGGUAGCUAAAUGCGGAAGAGAUAAGUGCUGAAAGCAUCUAAGCACGAAACUUGCCCCGAGAUGAGUUCUCCCUGACUCCUUGAGAGUCCUGAAGGAACGUUGAAGACGACGACGUUGAUAGGCCGGGUGUGUAAGCGCAGCGAUGCGUUGAGCUAACCGGUACUAAUGAACCGUGAGGCUUAACCUU